Molecule: long non-coding RNA, 506 nt
Organism: Perca flavescens (yellow perch)
Lineage: Eukaryota; Metazoa; Chordata; Actinopteri; Perciformes; Percidae
Exons: 3
Source: RefSeq, a predicted model, not a curated record
ACAAACUCGCAGAGAGUCAAGUGAAACACCGGUCCCUGAUUUUCUCAGGCACCACAAAAACACACGGCGAUAGACUUCAUACGGUCUGCCAAAUGCAGACUGAAAUACAUGGCGUCUAACAAUGCUAGCGGCUCGCCAGGCUGAGCAGUGAAGCGGUGAGUGAACAGUGAUUCCAGGCAGCAGAUAACCCUCUGAGGAGAAGAAGGACUUCCCACAUGGACUCCAACAGUGCCGGCAGCGUGCAAUAUGAUCGCUGGAACGAGGAAAACAUCAACAUGAAAGUCGAUGCACCACAGUCUUCUGUAAUGAGGCCCACUGGUGCAGGAGUCAAUGUUGCAGGAAGCUGUGAAUCAAAAGUCCCUUAAAUCGGUCUGGUGUAAGUCUCUGAAUUCGGGGACAUAUGCUUUGGUCCCUGCUGCAAGAGUAACACUAAUUUUAUUUUAUUUAUUGGAUGAUAAUCGUCUUUAAGCUAAACUCAGUUUGGUCAUCCAACAAAUGAUGCCACC